Molecule: long non-coding RNA, 1127 nt
Filed under: Anas platyrhynchos platyrhynchos (common mallard)
Lineage: Eukaryota; Metazoa; Chordata; Aves; Anseriformes; Anatidae
Description: lncRNA (ENSAPLG00000022298.1)
Source: RNAcentral
UCUUUAAUGUUAUGUUGAAAAUAUGAAUGACAAACUAACCCUAACCCUCUUCUUUGUUUAAUGUAUUCAUCUUUCUAAAGCACGGACCUUCAAUUUUAGAUAGCAUCACCUAGAGAUCAAAAGAAAGCUGUAUUCAAAACCACUUCGUACAAAUACUUGGGCUGUGGUUGUAUUGUACAGGUAGAGCACAGUCUUUCAGUUGUGAAUAACCGCACUUCAGUGUUCUAAUAUGUUUGUGUUCUUCCUGUCAUUUCUAAUGGGUGAACUGUGUAUGUGUGAAGUACAGAGUGAGUCUUUGCUGUUUUUCUGUAACUGUAGGAAUUCUGUAAAUGUAGCGCGUUGAGUGAACCUCACCCUCUUCUAAAUACUCCUACCUUGAAAUCAGUCCGUUUUGCCUUGUACAACUCCCUCUUCCUUAUUUCGAGAGAAAAAUUAAUCUGAUGCCUAUAUUUCUUGUAGGUUUCUCACACCUGAAAUUAUGUUUAAAAGGCCAAAUGAAGCUGAAUUUACAACCAACUCUUUUGCAGACGCAAAGCAGUAACAGUGAAUAUACUUAGGUGAAACCAUACUUUGGAGUCUUUAAUCUCAUUCAUGAAAGAGACAUAAGGAGCAAGGAAGUGGGGGAUGCUGGAAUUCAUUCUGUCUGAAAGAAGAUCCAUAGCUGUGUUAUAAGUAAAAAUCUGUGUGUAUUUUCUUUAUCUGGAAACUCAUUAAUUUUGCUUAAUCCAUAGAUAUUGCAAUAAUUUAUUCGUCCAUAGCUUUCUGGUUUCUUAAACGCUUUUAGAUGUGUGAUAAAAAGCAUUCUGGAGUUGUAACAUGUAACCCAAGUUUUUUCAGGUAGAAGACUUGCAUUUCUGUUGCAUUUGCUGAAUUGCUAAUGAGCAGCUUGUUUUUGUUACUGGCUUGGUUCAGGGUGGAAUAAGUGACUGUGUAAUCUGGUUUCAAGAAUGAGGCUUGUACUUCCAUCAGAUAACUCAUGAAGAAUAUAUAAGACCAAAAUAAUUAAAAUGUCUAUUCCUGUGACCUAAAAAUCACUGCACCUUUGGGUAAGGUUAACUCAUCACUAUCUUACAUGUAUACUUGCAGUAGGUCAAAGCAUGUUUGAAUGCUGUUUCUGUAAGUUAAAU